This 925-nucleotide ribosomal RNA is filed under the name uncultured bacterium. RNAcentral describes it as "bacterial SSU rRNA". It matches the Rfam family "Bacterial small subunit ribosomal RNA", at positions 8 to 916 of the family's 1533-position model. The record is from RNAcentral.
AGAGUUUGAUCCUGGCUCAGGACGAACGCUGGCGGCGUGCCUAACACAUGCAAGUCGAACGGAGUGUUGCGCUGAAAUUGAGAUUAGCUUGCUAAAGGAAAUUUCUUGUAACACUUAGUGGCGGACGGGUGAGUAACGCGUGAGGAACCUGCCUUACAGAGGGGGACAACAGUUGGAAACGACUGCUAAUACCGCAUGAUGUGGAGGGGAGACAUCUCCCUUUCACCAAAGGAGCAAUCCGCUGUAAGAUGGCCUCGCGUCUGAUUAGAUAGUUGGUGGGGUAACGGCCUACCAAGUCGACGAUCAGUAGCCGGACUGAGAGGUUGAUCGGCCACAUUGGGACUGAGACACGGCCCAGACUCCUACGGGAGGCAGCAGUGGGGGAUAUUGCACAAUGGAGGAAACUCUGAUGCAGCAACGCCGCGUGAGGGAAGAAGGUUUUCGGAUUGUAAACCUCUGUUUUUAGUGAAGAAACAAAUGACGGUAGCUAAAGAGGAAGCCACGGCUAACUACGUGCCAGCAGCCGCGGUAAUACGUAGGUGGCAAGCGUUGUCCGGAAUUACUGGGUGUAAAGGGUGCGCAGGCGGGAUUGCAAGUUGGAUGUGAAAUACUGGGGCUUAACCCCGGAGCUGCAUCCAAAACUGUAGUUCUUGAGUGGAGUAGAGGUAAGCGGAAUUCCGAGUGUAGCGGUGAAAUGCGUAGAUAUUCGGAGGAACACCAGUGGCGAAGGCGGCUUACUGGGCUCUAACUGACGCUGAGGCACGAAAGCAUGGGUAGCAAACAGGAUUAGAUACCCUGGUAGUCCAUGCUGUAAACGAUGAAUGCUAGGUGUGGGGGGACUGACCCCUUCCGUGCCGGAGUAAACACAAUAAGCAUUCCACCUGGGGAGUACGACCGCAAGGUUGAAACUCAAAUGAAUUGACGG